RNAcentral lists this unclassified non-coding RNA (751 nucleotides) under Hevea brasiliensis (rubber tree). Lineage: Eukaryota; Viridiplantae; Streptophyta; Magnoliopsida; Malpighiales; Euphorbiaceae. The record is from RNAcentral.
GGCAAAAUUGAUGUUAUUUCAGUAUCUAUAUACAAUCUCAUGAGAAAAGUGGACGGAAAAUGCUACUCAGACUCUUCAAAACCAUAGGUGAAAUACAGAAGUUAAGAAGACAACAUACAAGGUAAUGCUGCUAAGUUAUUGACAAUCUAGUAAAAGAAAUUUCACUUUUAGAAUGCUAAGGUCCUUAGCUUUUCUUUGAUUGGCAAAUCAACUACUCCAACUUCCAACGAUUCACUUGCAGAUUCUCCUUCAAUUUGCCUGCCAUAUGUUAAGGGCAAGAAUGAACAGCAAUUGAAAUUUUCUCCUGGAAAACUGUAAGUGCAGACUUGCUCAAGAACGUCUGUCCUUGUGUUGUAAGAAACCACAGUUCCUGGAAGCUGCAAAUACAAUGUUUCUGAAUCUUCACAGACGGCUAUAGGAGAUGCAUCAUAGGGCUCCCACUUCCUCUGGCCAAGAUGGAAGUAAGUUUCUUGAUGCUUCAGAUUCAGGUCUUGAUGAUUGACACUACGAGCUAAUCCCCACCUGAAUGUUUUGCGAUCGUAGAUGUUGUAGUUUGAGUAAUAGUCAUGAUCAUAUUCACUGAGAAGAAUCCAGGUGUGAACUCCUUCAAAAUCGGUAUAAGUAUAGUUAGCUCGCCCUUGAGACUCCGAUAAGCAUCGCUUGUAAGCCAAAGCGGAUUGCCAGCACCAGUCCUCUGAGAAAUUUGGCAGUUCAAUCAGUUCACAGUGAUCAUCUUCAACCUGAUACACCA